UCUUCUGAAACGGAAAGGAAUGGCAAUUUGUUUUUAUUUUCUUCUGAAACGGAAAGGAAUUGAAAUUUUACAGUGCAAGUCCAUGAUUGCAUUCUCUGGUUCUCUUUAGAGGUUGAAAGAGUUUGGAGUGAGAAUUAAAGAAAACCAUUGGACUUUUUUACCUUGGGGAAAGAAUCUUUUUGUAAAGAAGGUUAUUGGUGUUCAAAGGGAUUUGAUAGACGCUUAUUGUGUUGUGGAAUGUGGACCUGGAAAUGAAACGUUUGUAGCUUCGUUAGAGGACCCGACGACCUCGGCUAACCUUCAUCAACAGGGCAGUUUAAGUUUGGUAUUUGGUUUCGGAAGUCUUUAUUGCUUUGUUCAUGGCCAGCAUGUGCGCAAAGAAGAAGUCGACGGUAGAGGAAUGUUGAUGAAGUCGGGCUCCAUGUUUGGUUAACUUUCGCUCCAUGGAUUUUGAUGGAAGAAGAGUUAGAUAAAAGGAUGCUUUCUUGAGUUGGAGCUAUACGAUAAGGAUCUUCAGAAUUAAAUAAGCACAGAUAACGACAUCUUCCAGGUUGUUUCCUUGGUUCUGGAAGGAAAUUUAAGAUUGAUUAGUUCUCGAUCUCCAUGUUGCUUUCGUCAAGAUUACUAUCAACAAUGAGAGGAGGAAAGCAAAGGGUCUGUUUGGCAUGGUGUAGUCAGAGGGUGUGAUGCAGCCAAGGGAAAUAAUUGAAGCUCGAUUGCAUGAGAAGAAUUGAAUUACAGUGAGAUGAUAGAAAGAAAGGUUUAUUUCACAUGAUUUUGUACGUUGGCAAAAAAUUUAUGCGUAUUUGAUGGAAGGUGAAGGAAUAUUACUAAAGGAACGGGAAUCAAAUAUAAAUCAUUGUCUUCUGAUGGUCGCGUCGAAUGACUCUGACAUGUCUAGUUCUUCUGGAAGAUUCUGUUUGGGAGCUUCCAGUUGAGGUGGUAUUGAAGAUGAGCAAGUAGAAGCUCCAUAUUUGAUGGUACCAAGUGUUAAUCCUGGACACAUCCUCCUCCCAGCUGCCCGCCCCAUAUGGUGAAGGAGGACUGUAAGGGAUGGGAAUUAAGCAUAAAUCUUUCCUUCUUUGGAUGGUUGCACCGAAUGUUUCCGACAUAUCCAAAUCUUCUGGCUUGACACCAGAGGGAAGUUUCCAAUCGAAGUGGUACAGUAAAUGAGCAAGUAGAAGCCCCAUGUUGGCUGUCCCUAGUGCCAGCCCAGGGCACAUCCUUCUACCAGCACCAAAUGACCACUAAUGAAAUGAAGGAAGUUCAGCCAAGGAAACACAUCACUGAUGUCGAAACCACCUGCCAAGCCACGAAGGAGAUGCUUUGAAUGAGAUUUGAAAUCUCUUCCUCUCUUACCGAUCUGAAUGACCGGACUUGUUUAGCACUCAAUAAUUCCAGCACGAAAAUCCUUCGCAAUUGCCUCCAGUAAUUACCGCAAGGGGAGAAAGCU
Papaver somniferum (opium poppy) is the source of this 1453-nucleotide long non-coding RNA. RefSeq lists it as uncharacterized. The transcript is spliced from 9 exons. The record is from RefSeq and is a predicted model, not a curated record. NCBI's taxonomy places the organism in Eukaryota, Viridiplantae, Streptophyta, Magnoliopsida, Ranunculales, Papaveraceae.